Molecule: ribosomal RNA, 120 nt
Filed under: Streptomyces griseorubiginosus
Lineage: Bacteria; Bacillati; Actinomycetota; Actinomycetes; Kitasatosporales; Streptomycetaceae
Description: partial 16S rRNA
Rfam family: Bacterial small subunit ribosomal RNA
Source: RNAcentral
UCUAAUACCGGAUAUCACUUGCGCAGGCAUCUGUGCGGGUUGAAAGCUCCGGCGGUGAAGGAUGAGCCCGCGGCCUAUCAGCUUGUUGGUGAGGUAACGGCUCACCAAGGCGACGACGGG